CGUGAUUUGUUAUUCUCUUGAUUUACCUUGUGUAAAAUCCUCAAAUUUGUCCAAAUCUGUUUUGGAGAAUAAGGUAACGAAAUUUUCCAAAUUUGUUUUUAAUUUAUAUUCGUGCCUUAAACAGUUUAUGUGGUUGUACAUGAAGUUUGAGUUCCAUUUGACAAAGGUUAACUCAACAACGGAGAUUCGACUACACUAUGCCCCCG
RNAcentral lists this long non-coding RNA (206 nucleotides) under Gossypium barbadense (sea-island cotton). RNAcentral's name for it is "long non-coding RNA (GBAR_LNC002130)". The record is from RNAcentral. Lineage: Eukaryota; Viridiplantae; Streptophyta; Magnoliopsida; Malvales; Malvaceae.